CGGAGGGUGCGAGCGUUGUCCGGAAUCACUGGGCGUAAAGGGCGCGUAGGCGGCGCGGGUAGUCAACGGUGAAAGCUCAGGGCUCAACCCUGAGUCGGCCGUCGAUACUCCCGUGCUCGAGCACUGUAGAGGCAGGUGGAAUUCCGGGUGUAGCGGUGGAAUGCGUAGAGAUCCGGAAGAACACCGGUGGCGAAGGCGGCCUGCUGGGCAGUAGCUGACGCUGAUGCGCGACAGCGUGGGGAGCAAACAGGAUUAGAUACCCUGGUAGUCCACGCCGUAAACGAUGGGUACUAGGUGCUUGGGGGAGCGACCCCCUGAGUGCCGGCGCUAACGCAUUAAGUACCCCGCCUGGGGAGUACGGCCGCAAGGCUG
Molecule: ribosomal RNA, 372 nt
Filed under: uncultured organism
Description: bacterial SSU rRNA
Rfam family: Bacterial small subunit ribosomal RNA
Source: RNAcentral